CUUUCUGCUCAUCUGUGUUCGUAUUUAGUGAUGGUUUUUCCUGGUACUCUUCGUUCUGGUUGAGGCCGCCGGGGUCGCCCGCCACGGCGGGGUCGUGUGCAACGGCGGGGGUCGUGUUUCUGCUGCAGAUCGAGGACAAUUCUUUGCUGUUCGCGGGGCGGUCGGCCGCGACGAUGCUCAACUUCAUGGAGUCGACGUCCGGCGUCCGCGAUCGGGCUCUACGCCGGCGGACAAGGAAUACGACUCAUGCACGCACCGCCGUCCGCUCGAUCCCAUCCAUGGCCCAGGCAAGGUCAUUCUCCCAUAUGUCCGGUGUCCCUCUUCCCCUUGUUUAGUUUUCUUUUGCUGCACUUUUACUCUUUUUUUGGUAGCAAGGGAUUGGCGGCCGCGGCCGAGCGGAUCGACCACUCCGUUUGCAACGCCGGCGCUUUCUUUCCUGGCCUCAGCUUUACCACAACCCAACUUUUGGAAUCACUCCGAUGGCGAGUAUGCAGAGGCUAUGAACCAGAAGAGGCGACGGCGGAACGCAGGCAGCGGUGAUGACACGUCGCCUUCUUCACUGUCAUUGACGGCGUGUCGGCGUCGCAGGUGCAUAUGUGGUGGUGAUGUUUCUGACCUUGAGCUCGCCUAGCUUGCCGACGGCUCGAGCUCACGCCUGCCCAGAGCACCAACACCCCUCCGUCCUAUGUCGCCAAGGUGUACCUCGUGCUUGGCAUGCGAGUUUCCCACGUCACUGGCACCUCGACCCCACGCCCGCCCAGACCGUGAGUGCCCCGCCGCCCACUACUACCGGAGCCGUCCGCCCCUUGUCGUCGUCAUCAAGAGAUGCGGCCUAAGCUAGGCUACCGCCAAAGCAGAUGCGAGAAGGUGCCCCCAGCUCCAUAUGUCUUUCCGCCUCCGUGUCAGCUGCAGGAAGGUGAGCACGCGACGAGUGCCUCCAGCUCGCUCUUGGCCAUGCACCCUGACGCGGUGACGCCCCUUGCGCUGCCUCUCGCGCGGCUUGCAUUCUUCGGCUGCGCCGUGUGUGGUGCGUGGGUUGCUGUCAUGGUGCCAUGGCCCCUGCGCUCGGACGAAUUGAACUCACAUGCAUAUGGUCGUGAGUCGUGACCCAGAGCUGGCAUGGCGCCACCCCUCCCCAGGGAUACAGUAUUCUUCUCUGAGAAUUUCGUGAGCAAGCUACGGUCUUCAUUAGCAGUACUGGCCUUCUUCUUCUUUUUUCGAUUUUUCAGGGCUCAUGCCAUGUGUUUACUAUACUGAAAUGUUGAAGAUGGUACUAUAAUUUGGAUUAAUUUUAUAAGA
Long non-coding RNA from Triticum dicoccoides, 1299 nucleotides. RefSeq lists it as uncharacterized. The record is from RefSeq and is a predicted model, not a curated record. The transcript is spliced from 2 exons. NCBI's taxonomy places the organism in Eukaryota, Viridiplantae, Streptophyta, Magnoliopsida, Poales, Poaceae.